CCUACGGGAGGCAGCAGUGGGGAAUAUUGCACAAUGGGGGAAACCCUGAUGCAGCGACGCCGCGUGAGUGAAGAAGUAUUUCGGUAUGUAAAGCUCUAUCAGCAGGGAAGAAAAUGACGGUACCUGACUAAGAAGCCCCGGCUAACUACGUGCCAGCAGCCGCGGUAAUACGGAGGGGGCAAGCGUUAUCCGGAUUUACUGGGUGUAAAGGGAGCGUAGACGGCCAGACAAGUCAGAAGUGAAAGCCCAGGGCUCAACCCUGGGACUGCUUUUGAAACUGGCGGGCUAGAGUGCAGGAGAGGUAAGCGGAAUUCCUAGUGUAGCGGUGAAAUGCGUAGAUAUUAGGGGGAACACCAGUGGCGAAGGCGGCUUACUGGACUGUAACUGACGUUGAGGCUCGAAAGCGUGGGGAGCAAACAGGAUUAGAUACCCCAGUAGUC
Molecule: ribosomal RNA, 440 nt
Filed under: uncultured bacterium
Lineage: Bacteria
Description: partial 16S ribosomal RNA
Rfam family: Bacterial small subunit ribosomal RNA
Source: RNAcentral